AGCGAACGCUGGCGGCAGGCUUAACACAUGCAAGUCGAGCGGGCGUAGCAAUACGGAGUGGCAGACGGGUGAGUAACGCGUGGGAACCUACCUUACGGUCGGGAAUAGCUCAGGGAAACUUGGGGUAAUACCGGAUACGCCCUUACGGGGAAAGAUUUAUCGCCGUUAGAUGGGCCCGCGUAGGAUUAGCUAGUUGGUGAGGUAAUGGCUCACCAAGGCGACGAUCCUUAGCUGGUCUGAGAGGAUGAUCAGCCACACUGGGACUGAGACACGGCCCAGACUCCUACGGGAGGCAGCAGUGGGGAAUAUUGGACAAUGGGCGCAAGCCUGAUCCAGCCAUGCCGCGUGAGUGACGAAGGCCUAGGGUUGUAAAGCUCUUUUGGCGGGGAAGAUAAUGACGGUACCGCAGAAUAAGCUCCGGCUAACUUCGUGCCAGCAGCCGCGGUAAU
This 449-nucleotide ribosomal RNA is filed under the name uncultured bacterium. RNAcentral's name for it is "bacterial SSU rRNA". It matches the Rfam family "Bacterial small subunit ribosomal RNA", at positions 29 to 524 of the family's 1533-position model. The record is from RNAcentral.